This 221-nucleotide unclassified non-coding RNA is filed under the name soil metagenome. Its description in RNAcentral is "partial contains small subunit ribosomal RNA, internal transcribed spacer 1, and 5.8S ribosomal RNA". The record is from RNAcentral.
UUUCCGUAGGUGAACCUGCGGAAGGAUCAUUAUCCUGCAAGAGGUUGCUUUCCUUCGGGAGAGUCAGCCUUUGCUACCCUUAUCCUGUGUUUUUGUAUACCUUGUUGUUUCCUUGGUGGGCUUGCCUGCCUUAAGGACUACUUUAAAAACCCUUUGCAGUUGCAUUCAACGUCUGAAAAAAUCAAUAGUUACAACUUUCAACAAUGGAUCUCUUGGUUCUG